Molecule: long non-coding RNA, 822 nt
Organism: Zingiber officinale
Lineage: Eukaryota; Viridiplantae; Streptophyta; Magnoliopsida; Zingiberales; Zingiberaceae
Exons: 3
Source: RefSeq, a predicted model, not a curated record
CUUUUCUUUUUCUUCUCCCGUCGCCGUGCCGUGCCCCAUUUCUUCUCCCCACUUCUCUUCCUCUUUUUCGCCGAGCCCUAAGCCACCCGAUGCCAUCUCCUUGCUUUCCUCCCCAACCCGACGCCGUCUCCUUCCCCAAUCGGCGCCGCCUCCCGACGCUUCGCUUCCUCUCCUCCCACGCAUACAAAACCGAGCCCUCUCCCGAUCUCUCUCGCUCACGAAGUCCCUCUCCCUACGUCUCUUUGCAUCGUCUCCGUCCGCCAUAGCUCGACGUCGCCGGCCAUGGGAGAUCCGGUGUCGCCGAGUCCGUCUCUCUUUUGCGAACACACUGAGCCAUCCUCGGUUGAUCGCUGCCAUCGCUGAUCUCUCCGUCAUCUCAAUCGCACCAGCACCGUGUGUCCGUCGCCAACUGAGGCCCCUUCUCCACUAAUCGCUGGAGUUCUUCCGGUGGUUGUUCUUGUCUCUGAGUCGCCCUCUCUACACGGGACAACCUUCGACCAAGGGCAAGGAGUCGUGCCGCCGCCUCUGUGAGAGUUGCUGGACAGAUUCUCAGUUUGCUAAUCCCUUCUUAGCUGCCAAAAUCCGAAGUUGGACAACGAUAUCAAACUAGUUCGGUCACCCUUACAGCGGUGAACGCGCUCCGACAGUGAACAAGCAGGUUGAAGCUGUCAGGAGGUUCCAAUCGCUAGUCCCCACCCUGAGUCGCGACGGUUUUUCUAUCUUUGGACUUUUGGUUUCCUUGUUAAGUUCCUACAUACUUAUGAUGUGUGAUUGCACUCGAGGAUUUUUAUAUCGAGUUUUGAUCUACUACCUUUGUUUUUC